Long non-coding RNA from Zalophus californianus (California sea lion), 1490 nucleotides. RefSeq lists it as uncharacterized. The record is from RefSeq and is a predicted model, not a curated record. The transcript is spliced from 4 exons. Lineage: Eukaryota; Metazoa; Chordata; Mammalia; Carnivora; Otariidae.
CCCCCCCCAAAUCUGACAACUCUUACACACAGAAAGGAAGAAACUGAAAUUGCCAAUGAGAGUUAAACUUUUCUCCCGGCCACAAAUGGACACAGUCAUAUCCAAAUUCUGGUGUUGUUGAUACGGAACUUCUAGAUGCCACCUGUCACCAUGGCCCAUAAGAAAUGUGCCAGUAGAGGAACCAGCUGGAUGUGAGCCUGGGAGGAAAGGGUUCAAAGCCUCUCAGUCCGAGGAGGUGGUUUGCCACACACACACAUGUGCAAACCCACAAGCAACUAAAAGUGUCAACCAAACCACCCCACAUACAUGGCAAUGGCCAACUCCGCAAUUUUCCUCUCAUGUGCCACCCAUCUAAGCUGACUGAUUUCAGUUUCCUGCCUGGCUCCACACCUGUAGCUUCACAAGCUGCCUGGGAGCUGCCAUGAUGUCAUCACAAUCGGGUUCCCCAGAUGGGGAGGGCAUAUAGACACCAAACUAUGUGGCUAACAAGUCCUGACUGGCAGGGCGAAAGUUGAAAAUACCAGGGCACUUACAAAAUCAAUAUUAAAAAGAAAAUAAUACCAAAUAAUUAAAUAUAAAAAUGAAGGGGAAAAUCAAAAACAUUCAAAUGGAAAAUGACGAAAGUUCCAAUACAUAAGAAAAAAUGUAAAAGAAGAAAAGAAAAGUAGAAAACAAUGUAAUGCAAGAAAGGGAACUUCAUUAGGAGGCACGUCUUCAGUUGUCAAAGGUGACUCGAGUUCCACACACACAUGCCAGAAUCUGAAGGGAUUAUCGAAGGGCCUUCACAUGGUCUGGUCCUACACAGAGUCCCAGAGUCUCAACACCACGAUUUGAUGACAAGGCUAUAAUCCCAGAGAAAAUCUAGUGCGAGUGGGAAAGACACAUUGCAUCCAGAGGAGAGGGGGCAGGGCACGUCCACUGCCCAGGGAAAGCACUUGCCUCAAGUGGUACCAAUGUCCUCCUGAAGACCUCUUCAAGCAAAGGUCUGAACAACUGAUGGCAGGGCUACCACAGGAAGCUGUCGAAAUGAUAGGGAUGGGACAUCCAGGGGAGGGCCAUACCAGGCAUUGAUAAGUCCCAUGGCCCCGAUCCUGACCAGUCGGCCAGCCAGUGUCUGGAACCCAAGUGACUCCAUCGGCAUGGCCCCCACCAGCACAUCAAGGAGCCAACUCCCAUGGAGAUCCCGACGGAGGCGGCUUGUUUGGAAGCCGACACAACAAGGGGCUCCGCAUGCAUUGGUCAAGCAGAACCCAUACCCAGACAUCACUACCAGAGAACGACUGGCCCGAGAGCUAGACAUUCCAGAAUCCAGGAUCCAGGUGUGAUUUCAGAACCAGUGCAUGAGACAGCUAAGGCAGAAAUGAUUGGGGUCUGCCAAAUCCCAAGGGGGAAGGGACAGCACAUGGACAAGAACAACCUCCAGGUUUGACUCAAGAAAACAGGUGCAUCUUGCUUGGAUGUAGGCAAUAAUUUGGACUCUAUACAUUCCC